UGGGGAAUCUUGCACAAUGGGGGCAACCCUGAUGCAGCGACGCCGCGUGUGCGAUGAAGCCCUUCGGGGCGUAAAGCUCUGUCGACCGGAACGAUAAUGACGGUACCGGGAGAAGAAGCUGCGGCUAACUACGUGCCAGCAGCCGCGGUAAUUCGUAGGUGGCAAGCGUUGUCCGGAUUUACUGGGCGUAAAGGAUGCGUAGGCGGAUACUUAAGUCAGAUGUGAAAAUCCCGGGC
This 236-nucleotide ribosomal RNA is filed under the name uncultured bacterium. RNAcentral's name for it is "partial 16S ribosomal RNA". It matches the Rfam family "Bacterial small subunit ribosomal RNA", at positions 355 to 608 of the family's 1533-position model. The record is from RNAcentral.